RNAcentral lists this long non-coding RNA (1362 nucleotides) under Lathyrus oleraceus (garden pea). Its description in RNAcentral is "Pisum sativum (pea) long non-coding RNA (PSAT_LNC033526)". Lineage: Eukaryota; Viridiplantae; Streptophyta; Magnoliopsida; Fabales; Fabaceae. The record is from RNAcentral.
UUAGUGGAGGCCCACUUAAGAUAAAAUUCUUAAUAAAGUCCUUACCAUCAAAAGUUUAUAUUUUUGUCUUCAAAUCAUCUUGAUUUUGAAGAAAUUAUUUUUAAAUUAAAGAAUCACUGCUUAUUAUUAAUGAACGGACAACAUCUUCUUCAUCAAGAUACUUUAAUGCAUUGAGCAUGUUGAAAACAACUUAUUGACCAUUAAACCUCAUGGUAAGUUCUCCUUUCUCAACAUCAAUAAGACUCCUUCCGGUAGGUAGGAGUGGUCUUCCCAACAUAAUAAGAUUUUCCUAAUUAACCAUGAAAUCCAUUAUGAUGAAAUAAGCCAGAAUCAAGAACUUAUCAACCCUUACCAGCACAUCUUCUAAUUUACCUUAAGGGUAGCAAAUGAUUUUGUCAAGUAGUUGUAUAGUUAUAAUGGUGUUUCUUACAACUUCAUUUUCAAUCUUAUUGAGUAUUGACAAAGGUAUUAUAUUAAUGCUCAUGUCCAAAUCACAUAAGGCUCUUCUAUCAUACGUGUCUCAAACGGUACAAGAGAUUGUGAAACAACCUAGAUCUUUCAGCUUGGGAGGUAAUCUACCUUGAGAAUUCGACAACAUUCAUAAGCUAAAGCAACAAUCUCAAACUCUCUUACUCUUCUCCAUUUAGUUAAGACAUCCUUCAUGAAUUUGAAAUAAUUAAGUAUUUGAUGUAUAACUUCAAUUAAAGGGAGGUUGAUGUGCAACUUCCUCAAUUUCUCCAUAAACUUUCCAAUUUUUUUAAUUUUAUUUAGCUUUCCUUGUCCUUUUGAGAAAUGGAGGAGGUGAGGUGGUAUUUCUUGAACAAAUAUUUUCUUUGAAAAAAUGGAUCCAGAGGAAUCUAGUGACACGUCUGUAGCCUCGUAUGAAAUGCUUGGUGACUUCUCCUUCUAUAGGUUCUUGAUACUUUCUCAUUGAGCUUGAAUUUAGGUAUUUGCUUCAUUAGAAAAGACAUUAGUUUCUUUCAUAAAUGCCUCAAGUAUUUCCUUCAUAUGGUUACUCCCAUUAGGUACCACAUUCUGAUUUGAUGUAAAUAAACCAGGUGGUAUUUGAGGUGUUUUAGGUUUCAAUUGAUUUUGAGUGUUGAGCCAUGAUAAAUUUAAGUGAUUCCUUCAUCUUGAGUUAUAGUUGUUACUAUAUGGAUUGAUAUUUUUAUUGUAAUUACACAUGUUGUUGUUUUCAUAAUAAUUUGAGAAUAUGCGAUAAGUAACUAAGAUUACAUUAUCUUUAAAGUGUCAUCAACACCAUUUCACUUUAAGUAAAAUAUUUUUUUAUCCAAUAUGACCCUAAUUUGUAUGUUUACUCGCUACUUUAUUAUAUUAGUUCUUGAAAUCUUUGUAUGUUUA